Oncorhynchus nerka (sockeye salmon) is the source of this 463-nucleotide long non-coding RNA. RefSeq lists it as uncharacterized. Lineage: Eukaryota; Metazoa; Chordata; Actinopteri; Salmoniformes; Salmonidae. The transcript is spliced from 2 exons. The record is from RefSeq and is a predicted model, not a curated record.
GCCAGCAUUGAGCCUCAGAGGGCUGGAACAGGCUAGGCAGGUCAGAGCUCAUUACCAGCUAACUGCACAGCAUUGAGCCUCAGAGGGCUGGAACAGGCUAGGCAGGUCAGAGCUCAUUACCAGCUAACUGCACAGCAUUGAGCCUCAGAGGGCUGGAACAGGCUAGGCAGGUCAGAGCUCAUUACCAGCUAACUGCACAGCAGGCUGACCACAGGGGUCUAUAUAGGGGGUCUAUAUAUGUCUCUCAGUGUGACCAUGCCAAACUCUCCAUCACAACAGCCACCAGGCUAGUUAGGAAAAACAAGUUAUUUUGAUACAGGAAGGAAUCAACAGGAUCAUUGAUUCUGACUGGAGAUUAGAUGCUUUUCUUAUGAUUUUAAAGUUCAUAUGAUUGUUGCCCUUGUUGAGACAUUUCCUCUUUAAUUUGUGAUCUAUUUUUGAUGAAUAAAUAAUUUUAUUAUUA